This 141-nucleotide small RNA is filed under the name Paenibacillus sp. RNAcentral describes it as "c-di-AMP sequence". It matches the Rfam family "c-di-AMP riboswitch aptamer (ydaO/yuaA leader)". From Rfam's summary of the family: This family represents a conserved RNA structure found upstream of the ydaO and yuaA genes in Bacillus subtilis and related genes in other bacteria. The ydaO/yuaA element is thought to act as a genetic "off" switch for the ydaO and yuaA genes in its native state. The record is from RNAcentral. Lineage: Bacteria; Bacillati; Bacillota; Bacilli; Caryophanales; Paenibacillaceae.
GGUUUAAACAUGCUGAAUCCAAACGAGCAGAACGUUUGGUACGGGGGAGCUUUAUAUGGGGUGAAUGUUUAUUUUACAUAAACUAGGAAUGCCUCGUUCCGAAUCCGACAACUAACCUCGGAAGCAACUAGGAGGAUGACA